UUGAAAUGAUAAAUCUAUUGUAAACGACUUUGCUGUGUCCAGGUAUUGUAAGUGAUAAGAGUGGUGUGUGUGCUGCGAUUCACUGAAGUUCUUCCUGUGUUUCUGAUUUGUUUCGCAUGCACACAACAACACCGGGCUUGCGUGCAUGAGCAUUCAGAGGCGGGGCACAUAGUGAAUUAUCUUCCAUAUGCAGUACUGCUGUUUAGCAUUGCUGUGAACAAGGAGAGUCAAUGUGUAUUGCAUUGAACCUGGAUGUGUUGCAGCUGCUUCGCAACCUAAACAUGGAGCUAUUGGCUUUGAAUUGUAUUGUGGAAAUGUAUUACCAACAGAGGUGCAGGUGCCAGCCUAUUGAAAUAAAGCGUCAAUGAGGGUGAGAAUCCUGUUUGUCAUGUGCAGCCCUUUGUGCACGGUGUAUAUUUGCUGAGUCACACUCCUUGGCAUUGGAAUGCAAAGUGGGUGGUAAGUUUCAUGUACAGGUAAACAUGCAAUUGAGACUGAUAGCACACAAGUACCAUGAGGGAAAUAUGAAAAGGACUUUGAAAAGAGAAUUAAAUGAGUUUGUAUUUGCUGAACACAAAGUAAACAGACUUGAUUUGCUUGGUGGGAGUGUUGCACUUGCUUGACAAGAGCUUUGGGCUGUGGGUGUAAUGAUUCUUUCUUUGCAUGCCAGUUUCUAUUUGUACAUCUGAUUACCUUUGCACAUGAAUGAUAAGUCUCCUGUGGGGGGUGGAUUGCAUGUGCAUGUAAUGAUUUGUGUUUUGAUAAAUGUGUCUGGUGUAUGUGUGUGUGUUCCUGUGCUUGGGGAUGCUUCCUUCCUUGGACUUACAAGCCCUGACACACACAUGCUGGCAAAAUGCUUCUGCUUGACCCGUCUUGAAACACGGACCAAGGAGUCUAACAUAUGUGCAAAGUUUGAAGGUGGUAUACCUUUGUGUGCAAUGAAAGUGUCAGCUGGGAUAUGUGCACCAGCACCCAAUUAAUUAGCGGACAGAGGUUUGAGUUGGAGCAUAUCUAUUAGGACCCGAAAGAUGGUGAACUAUGCCUGAACAGAAUGAAUUCAGAGGAAACUCUGAUGGAGGUUCGUAUCGAUACUGACGUGCAAAUCGUUCGUCAUAUUUGGGUAUAGGGGCGAAAGACUAAUCGAACCAUCUCGUAGCUGGUUCCCUCCGAAGUUUCCCUCAGUAUAGCUGGAGUUGCUCAGUUUUAUCAGGUAAAGCGAAUGAUUAAAGGAAUUGGGGACAGGUUUGUCUUUGACCUAUUCUCAAACUUUAAAUGGGUAAUAUGUAGUGGUUGCUGUAUGGAACUUCUAAGAUAAAUGGCAAUAUUGGGUGGGCCAUUUUUGGUAAGCAGAACUGGCGAUGAGGGAUGAACCUAAUGUGGGGCUAAGGUGCUUAAUUGCUUGCUCAGUUGAUACCAGCAAGGGUGUUGGUUAAUUUUAACAGCAGGACGGUGGUCAUGGAAGUCGAAAUCCGCUAAGGAGUGUGUAACAACUCACCUGCCGAAUGGACUAGCCCGAAAAUGGAUGGCGCUCAAGCGGGUGACUGAUACCCAACCAUUGUUGUAAACAACAUCAAUGUGUAGGAGGGCAUGGUGGCUUGUGACACAGCCUUUGGUGAAAACCUAGGUGCAACAGCUUCUAGUGCAGAUCUUGGUGGUAGUAGCAAUUAUUCAAAUGAAAACGUUGAAGACUGAAGUGGGGAAGGGUUUCAUGUGAACAGUGCUUGGACAUGGGUUAGCCGGUCAUAAGAGGCAGGCUUUGCUUCGCUCCUUGACAAGGAAUGGGGUUAAUAUCCCCCAGCCAGGACGUGGAUACUGCAUGGUAACAUAAUGCAGGUUGGUAAUGCAAUGGGAAGCCUUGGUAAGCGUUGUCUUUUCUGUUUAAUUGCUUAUUACCCUGGAAUCAGAUUGCCUGGAGAUAGGGUUGAAUGGCAAGCAAAGCACCUUGUCUUCUGAGGUGUCUGGUGUGCUUUUAAUUGCCAUUGAAAAACCAAAUGAUUGUUGUAUUCUCUCCCCUGGUCGUGCCCAUAUCCGCAUCAGGUCUCCAAGGUUUGCAGCCUCUGGUCUUUGGAACAAAGUAGGUAAGGGAAGUCGGCAAACUAGAUCCGUAACUUUGGGAAAAGGAUUGGCUCUGAGGGUUGGGUGCAGGGGUCCUUGUGCUGAUGCUUGAGCUAAGCAACAGCUACUUGACGCUUCUGGUGGAUAGUGGCUGUCUGCAUGGUAACAGCUGCUGGGCAAGGAAUGCCUUCUGGGGCUUUCUGUGUACAUUGAACAACUAACUCAGAACUGAAGCGGACAAGGGGAAUCCGACUGUUUAAUUAAAACAAAGCAUUGUGAUGGCUUGAAAAGGUGUUGAUGCAAUGUGAUGUCUGCCCAGUGCUCUGAAUGCCAAAGUGAUGAAAUUCAAACAAGCGCGGGUAAACGGCGGGAGUAACUAUGACUCU
This 2441-nucleotide ribosomal RNA is filed under the name seawater metagenome. Its description in RNAcentral is "eukaryotic LSU rRNA". It matches the Rfam family "Eukaryotic large subunit ribosomal RNA", at positions 1 to 2272 of the family's 3401-position model. The record is from RNAcentral.